RNAcentral lists this ribosomal RNA (269 nucleotides) under Acidithiobacillus ferrooxidans. Its description in RNAcentral is "16S ribosomal RNA". It matches the Rfam family "Bacterial small subunit ribosomal RNA", at positions 235 to 496 of the family's 1533-position model. The record is from RNAcentral. Lineage: Bacteria; Pseudomonadati; Pseudomonadota; Acidithiobacillia; Acidithiobacillales; Acidithiobacillaceae.
GUCCGAUUAGCUAGUUGGCGGGGUAAAGGCCYACCAAGGCGACGAUCGGUAGCUNGUCUGAGAGGACGACCAGCCACACUGGGACUGAGACACGGCCNNGACUCCUACGGGAGGCAGCAGUGGGGAAUUUUUCGNNAUGGGGGCAACCCUGACGAAGCAAUGCCGCGUGGAUGAAGAAGGCNUUCGGGUUGUAAAGUCCUUUCGUGGAGGACGAAAAGGCGGGUUCUAAUACAAUCUGCUGUUGACGUGAAUCCAAGWAGAAGCACCGG